This 379-nucleotide long non-coding RNA is filed under the name Ananas comosus (pineapple). Its description in RNAcentral is "long non-coding RNA (ACOM_LNC024001)". The record is from RNAcentral. Lineage: Eukaryota; Viridiplantae; Streptophyta; Magnoliopsida; Poales; Bromeliaceae.
ACCUAUUAUCUCAAAAUUCAAUAUUUCAAAAUGUUAACCAUUUAUAUUUAUACAUAUACAUUAUUUCUCAUAAACUUUUGUCACAUGACAGUACCAUAGUCUCUUCUUCUUAAAAUUUCUACUCUCCAAUCAUUGCGACCGCUCACCUUCCGCGUAACGUCUGCCUCUUCGGCUUUCCGUCUCAUUAAUUUCUUCUCUGUAAUGUCUGCCUCUUCGGCUUCCCGUCUAAUUAAUUCCUUCCCCGUAACAUAUGCCUCUUCGGCUUUCGGUCUCAUUAAUUCCUUAUUUGUGACGUCGCUGUUUCGACUUUCCGUCUCAUUAGUUUUUAUUUUUUAAGAGGCGUUGUCUGAGGAGCCCGUGGACACCACAUACGGCGUCC